This 468-nucleotide ribosomal RNA is filed under the name uncultured bacterium. Its description in RNAcentral is "partial 16S ribosomal RNA". It matches the Rfam family "Bacterial small subunit ribosomal RNA", at positions 28 to 507 of the family's 1533-position model. The record is from RNAcentral.
GACGAACGCUGGCGGCGUGCUUAACACAUGCAAGUCGAACGGAAAGGCCCUGCUUUUGUGGGGUGCUCGAGUGGCGAACGGGUGAGUAACACGUGAGUAACCUGCCCUUGACUUUGGGAUAACUUCAGGAAACUGGGGCUAAUACCGGAUAGGAGCUCCUGCUGCAUGGUGGGGUUUGGAAAGUUUCGGCGGUUGGGGAUGGACUCGCGGCUUAUCAGCUUGUUGGUGGGGUAGUGGCUUACCAAGGCUUUGACGGGUAGCCGGCCUGAGAGGGUGACCGGCCACAUUGGGACUGAGAUACGGCCCAGACUCCUACGGGAGGCAGCAGUGGGGUAUAUUGCACAAUGGGCGGAAGCCUGAUGCAGCAACGCCGCGUGCGGGAUGACGGCCUUCGGGUUGUAAACCGCUUUCGCCUGUGACGAAGCGUGAGUGACGGUAAUGGGUAAAGAAGCACCGGCUAACUACGUG